Molecule: long non-coding RNA, 845 nt
Filed under: Homo sapiens (human)
Lineage: Eukaryota; Metazoa; Chordata; Mammalia; Primates; Hominidae
Description: S-phase cancer associated transcript 1
Source: RNAcentral
UACAGAUGAAGCUUCGUUUGCUCACUUCCUGUUGUGUGGCCCAGACAGGGCACUGUCUGUGGCCCCAGGGGUUGAGGACCCCUGGCUUUAACAACAGAAAGGGAGGGAAUUGGGAUCUGAAGACGUUGCAUUCGAGGUCUCGGGGCUCCUGAUGAGCAGCCUCGGCCUGACCUGGGGCAGGUGUGAUGUCUGCGGCUCACCAUCUCCACCCUGCCUGCUGUGGAAUCUCCACAACGACAGGUGCUUUGGAGGCCAGAGUGCAUGCGUACGGGCCCUGCACACGCUGAAUGUCACUGGGAACAAGGACACACCCCGCUUCCAGGAGAAGAUAGAACAUGUCGACCCCUUUUACCAUAUGACACAUUAUCAGACCAAACCAGAGCUCUUGGUUUUCGGAUCUGGGGAUGAAUUCUUUAGCACAGAUGGAACCAUGAACUUCUAUGAUCAACUGCCAGGAAGGAAAUACCUCAGAGCCAUCCCCAGUGCAGGACAUGCUAUUGACUUCCAUGAGACAAACACCUACUUGGAAAUCAGGUUUUUUCUGUACCUUUUGAAGGAGCAGGAAUUUCCCAGCAUUUCCUGGACAAAGACGGAGGCCACAUUCGCUGCAUCCUUUCCAGCAAGAUGUCAUUCUGAGAUUUUUGUCAUUCCUGGGCGUUAUGAGGACUGCCAAGGGACACAAUUCCAUGGGAGGAAAGUUUUCUUCUAAGCUGCAAGCCAGCUCUGGCUUCUGGAGUUUCUCCUUAGGAUUGCAAGACAGUAGUUCCCUGUCCUUUAGGUCUUCUCCAGAAAUACCUUAAAAUAGCAAAUAAAAUAAGAUAUAAGCAAACAAAACCUGAAGUUAA